RNAcentral lists this ribosomal RNA (859 nucleotides) under Escherichia coli. Its description in RNAcentral is "partial 23S ribosomal RNA". It matches the Rfam family "Bacterial large subunit ribosomal RNA", at positions 87 to 986 of the family's 2925-position model. The record is from RNAcentral. Lineage: Bacteria; Pseudomonadati; Pseudomonadota; Gammaproteobacteria; Enterobacterales; Enterobacteriaceae.
UGAUAUGAACCGUUAUAACCGGCGAUUUCCGAAUGGGGAAACCCAGUGUGAUUCGUCACACUAUCAUUAACUGAAUCCAUAGGUUAAUGAGGCGAACCGGGGGAACUGAAACAUCUAAGUACCCCGAGGAAAAGAAAUCAACCGAGAUUCCCCCAGUAGCGGCGAGCGAACGGGGAGGAGCCCAGAGCCUGAAUCAGUGUGUGUGUUAGUGGAAGCGUCUGGAAAGGCGCGCGAUACAGGGUGACAGCCCCGUACACAAAAAUGCACAUGCUGUGAGCUCGAUGAGUAGGGCGGGACACGUGGUAUCCUGUCUGAAUAUGGGGGGACCAUCCUCCAAGGCUAAAUACUCCUGACUGACCGAUAGUGAACCAGUACCGUGAGGGAAAGGCGAAAAGAACCCCGGCGAGGGGAGUGAAAAAGAACCUGAAACCGUGUACGUACAAGCAGUGGGAGCACGCUUAGGCGUGUGACUGCGUACCUUUUGUAUAAUGGGUCAGCGACUUAUAUUCUGUAGCAAGGUUAACCGAAUAGGGGAGCCGAAGGGAAACCGAGUCUUAACUGGGCGUUAAGUUGCAGGGUAUAGACCCGAAACCCGGUGAUCUAGCCAUGGGCAGGUUGAAGGUUGGGUAACACUAACUGGAGGACCGAACCGACUAAUGUUGAAAAAUUAGCGGAUGACUUGUGGCUGGGGGUGAAAGGCCAAUCAAACCGGGAGAUAGCUGGUUCUCCCCGAAAGCUAUUUAGGUAGCGCCUCGUGAAUUCAUCUCCGGGGGUAGAGCACUGUUUCGGCAAGGGGGUCAUCCCGACUUACCAACCCGAUGCAAACUGCGAAUACCGGAGAAUGUUAUCACGGGAGACA